GUAAAGGAGAGGUGCUAGAGAAAAGGUAACACCGGCCAAGAACCGCACUUGCAGCAGCUGUCGGAUGGAUUAGGCAGCACAGACAGCAGCAGGGUGUGUGAUCCCAGGGGACAGAAGCAUCUCUCAGCAAGCAGCCAUCUUCUGCAGACUCUGGGAUUUUUCAAGAGUGAGCACACUGGCUACAAAGGAGUCUUCCUACGUGAGGCCUUUGUCAAAGGAAGGGCUACAAAGUGACCAUUCAGCUCCUGGGGUUGAGAGCAAAGGGCCAUGCUAAGCAGGAAGGUGUUCACAAA
This 293-nucleotide long non-coding RNA is filed under the name Homo sapiens (human). Its description in RNAcentral is "HSALNT0050759". Lineage: Eukaryota; Metazoa; Chordata; Mammalia; Primates; Hominidae. The record is from RNAcentral.